This 780-nucleotide long non-coding RNA is filed under the name Homo sapiens (human). RNAcentral's name for it is "HSALNT0384928". Lineage: Eukaryota; Metazoa; Chordata; Mammalia; Primates; Hominidae. The record is from RNAcentral.
GCCUUGGCCUCUAGUAAAUGGCGGAGGUGGUUUUAAUUUUUUUGAGGGCUGAGGAGAUCACUUCCGAAGGCGGAUCAGUGUAACAGACAAAGCAACUCUGUCACAAAAGGAAGCCUUCAUCUUUUUAAAGUGGGGGUGAAAGCAGCAGGAGUGCAUAAAAUGGCAUAUUUCCUUUCUGAAGACAAAGGAGACAAAAAGACCAGUGUAAUGUUCUGUCUCCCAGGCUGGAGUGCAGUGGUAUGAUCACAGCUAACUGCAGCCCCCCUGGGCUGAAUCUGUCCUCCUGCUUCAGCCUCCUGAGUAGCUGGAACUACAGGUACAUGCCACCACACUCAGCUAAUUUUUGUAUUUCUUUGAGAGAUAGGGUAUCGUCACGUUGCCCAGGCUGGUCUCAAACUCCUGAGCUCAACUGAUCUACCUGCCUCAGCCUCCCAAAGUGCUGGGAUUAUAGGUGUGAGCCACCGUGCCCGGCCUAAGUUCAUUAGCUUUCUACGCUCAAGUCUUUUGGAGAAGUUUGAGAUGUGACAGCAGCAGGCAUCAGAGGCUAGCAGCUCUCCCCCACCAUGAAGAAUUUUUCCCAUUCAGAUUCCAGCUUCCCCCUCUCACACCACCCCAGAGGGCAUGGAGAAGCUGGCUUUGCUCAGGAACCACAAUAAAGUGUAGUUUGUUAUGUGUGAAUGUAGAGCAUGCUGUUCUCCGUCCAACAUAAAUCCAUUUUUAUAACCAAAACUAUAAAUGACAGUGGAGCCAAAUUUGCUACUUUUUGGACAGACAUCUUAC